RNAcentral lists this ribosomal RNA (596 nucleotides) under Rhodotorula sp. SJ15L06. RNAcentral's name for it is "eukaryotic LSU rRNA". The stretch from base 171 to 324 matches the Rfam family "5.8S ribosomal RNA". The record is from RNAcentral. Lineage: Eukaryota; Fungi; Basidiomycota; Microbotryomycetes; Sporidiobolales; Sporidiobolaceae.
GGGACUUCCACUACGUGGAUCCCGAACCCUCACCGAUUUCCAAUCAACACCUGUGCACUGUCAGUUGGGUGCCGAGCCUCUGGUUCGGUUUCACCCGCUGGCGACCAUUUAACAAACCCAGAGUUAAUUGAAUGUGAUACAACGCCUCUAGUUGGGCGAAAACUAAAUACAACUUUCGACAACGGAUCUCUUGGUUCUCCCAUCGAUGAAGAACGCAGCGAAAUGCGAUAAGUAAUGUGAAUUGCAGAAUUCAGUGAAUCAUCGAAUCUUUGAACGCACCUUGCGCUCCAGGGUAUUCCCUGGAGCAUGCCUGUUUGAGUGUCAUGAAUCCCUCAAGUCCCAACGUUUCGCAAGACUCGUUGCUUGGACUUGGUCGUGGGCCGUCCUUUGCCGCUUCAUUGCCGGCUGGCCUUAAAGACAGUAGCUGGAUGUGGACUCCCAACACGUAGGGAAAGUCUCUCCAUUUGAUGUGAUAAAGUUACGUCGAUGGACCAAAGGAGACCGACCUGUUGGGCAGACCACUGGAUCCGCUUCCAACCCGGCGAUAGAGUUCCACCUCUUGACCCAAUUCAUCUCAACUCUGGCCUCAAAUCAGG